UGAGCAAAUCUGCCCUUCUCAUCGGAAUAAGCGUUGGAAACGACGUCUAAUGCCGAAUACGACCUCCUUUCGCAUGAUCGGAGGUGGAAAGCUCCGGCGGAGAAGGAUGAGCUCGCGGCCUAUCAGCAAGUUGGUGUGGGUAAUGGCCCACCAAGGCGACGACGGGUAGCCGGCCUGAGAGGGUGACCGGCCACACGUGGGACUGGGACACGGCCCAGACUCCUACGGGAGGNAG
This 235-nucleotide ribosomal RNA is filed under the name uncultured bacterium. Its description in RNAcentral is "partial 16S ribosomal RNA". It matches the Rfam family "Bacterial small subunit ribosomal RNA", at positions 118 to 351 of the family's 1533-position model. The record is from RNAcentral.